AUCCCACCAAGUUCAGCAUGCUGCCUCCUCUUACCUCUUCUUCGCCUUAUUCUUGACAGUAGGGAAGGGAAGGACCGAGAGAUUCCAAGCAGGGAGGGACAGCAUGUGGAGGGGUAGAGGAGGAGGAGGAGGGCGAAAUGGCUAGAAGAAGGUUGACGGAACUUACAAAUCCAAAUCCCGCGGUCUUGUAAAUUGGUCCAACCAUUGUAUAACCUUUACAGUACUUUGAAAGGAAUUGCUUGAUAUAUGGGAUUUCAUGGACAAUGGCCGCAACACCACCACUGUGGCUUCCUUUCUUCAGGGCCUCAACAUACUCAUCUGAAAACCCAUACAGGCAUUUUUCUACUUAAAAUGAGGAGAAAGUGUUUGAGGAAUCAGUUACGAAACUGUGGGCAAAAACUAGCGUCGAGAAAGAGAAGUAGAAGAUUGUCCCAAGCUGCUGGCUAACUGGAUCCCUAAACUCCAUGUUGAUGCAAUGUUCGAGCACCCACACAACAAAUCCAGUGUAGAAGAAAGCAGCCAAGCUCCCCAACCACAAAUCAAAGAAAUAAUUGCAAAGGCACAAAAAUUCUGAUACUAAUCAGACAACAAAAGAUAACUGGAUAGCUACCUGCAGAAGCCGCCUGCACCACAUCGUUACCCGAAUCUUUGGUGUGGAGAACCAGUCUCGCGGUGUAGUUGCUGUUGAUGGAGUAGAAGUCAUCGAUCGCCAUCGAUAUGCUAGUUUGCCCCAUUUUUCCGACCAAGGUGGUCAGGUCAAGGAUUACUCCAACAUGAAAGGGAUUUUCCAUAAUGUUGCUGCCAUUUCUCUGUGCUGCUGCAAAGAGAAUGAACGUGAACAGGAAGACAAUGACACCAGUACAGGGAAGUGGGUGGAAAAAUCUCAGCUCUAAACAAAUAGGAGAGUUGAAAGAUUCAAACAGAUUGAAGGCAUGGGAAGUUUCUCAUCAGCAUACUUCCAAUCGAAAGGAAACAGAGCUUAGGGUACUGUUCAUAAAAGAAUAAUUCCAUAUGCACAUGUAGAGCACAUCAUUGCAAUCUUGGAGGGCAAGAGAUGGAUUAUAAGAGAAAACACAGAAGCAAUAGCAUCUUCCCUCAAUGGCAUUGACUUGCCAUGGAUUUCUGAGAAGCUGAAACAAGUCUAAUCAUAAUAAGAUGGCUUACUUUGUCAAACUCCGAUGUAAUCCAAGCACUAUGAUGAGCUCAGAGUAUAAUAGUUGCCUCGAUGACUUUGAUUA
Long non-coding RNA from Musa acuminata AAA Group (dessert banana), 1238 nucleotides. RefSeq lists it as uncharacterized. NCBI's taxonomy places the organism in Eukaryota, Viridiplantae, Streptophyta, Magnoliopsida, Zingiberales, Musaceae. The transcript has 5 exons. The record is from RefSeq and is a predicted model, not a curated record.